Molecule: ribosomal RNA, 639 nt
Filed under: Rhizoplaca mcleanii
Lineage: Eukaryota; Fungi; Ascomycota; Lecanoromycetes; Lecanorales; Lecanoraceae
Description: eukaryotic LSU rRNA
Rfam family: 5.8S ribosomal RNA (bases 269-422)
Source: RNAcentral
CUUGGUCCAUUUAGAGGAAGUAAAAGUCGUAACAAGGUUUCCGUAGGUGAACCUGCGGAAGGAUCAUUAAUGAGAGGGGUCCCCGGACCCCGGGGGCUUCGGUCCCCAACUCUUCACCCUGUGUCUACGUACCUUUGUUGCUUUGGCGGGCCUUGGGGUUUGCCCCUUGCUGGCCUCGGGCUUCGCCGCCCGGGUUGGUCCGUGCCCGUCAGAGGCCCACCAAACUCCGUUUAUCAGUGUCGUCCGAGCAAAAAAUACAAUAGUAAAAAACUUUCAACAACGGAUCUCUUGGUUCUGGCAUCGAUGAAGAACGCAGCGAAAUGCGAUAAGUAAUGUGAAUUGCAGAAUUCAGUGAAUCAUCGAAUCUUUGAACGCACAUUGCGCCCCUCGGUAUUCCGGGGGGCAUGCCUGUUCGAGCGUCAUUGUACCCCUCAAGCUCAGCUUGGUAUUGGGCCUCCGCCCCCCUCGGGGCGGGCCCGAAAGUCAGUGGCGGUCCGGCGUGACUUCGAGCGUAGUAAACCUUUCUCCCGCUUUGGAAGCUCACGCCGUGGCCGGCCAGAACGCCCAAUUCUUUCAAUGGUUGACCUCGGAUCAGGUAGGGAUACCCGCUGAACUUAAGCAUAUCAAUAAGCCGGAGGA